This 298-nucleotide ribosomal RNA is filed under the name Palisada parvipapillata. RNAcentral's name for it is "partial 18S ribosomal RNA". It matches the Rfam family "Eukaryotic small subunit ribosomal RNA", at positions 88 to 408 of the family's 1831-position model. Lineage: Eukaryota; Rhodophyta; Florideophyceae; Ceramiales; Rhodomelaceae. The record is from RNAcentral.
UGCGAAUGGCUCGGUAAAACAGCAAUAAUUUAUUCGGGGGUAAUUGCUACUUGGAUAACCGUAGUAAAGCUAGAGCUAAUACGUGCUACAAAGGCGAGAUUCGCUCUCGUGGUACUAAGUAUUAGGUACAACCCAAUUUUAUUGGUGAUUCAUACUUAUCUUCUGAUCGCACUCUGUGCGACGCCCCGAAUAAAUUUCUGACCUAUCAACUUCGAUGGUAAGGUAGUGUCUUACCAUGGUUGUGACGGGUAACGGACCGUGGGUGCGGGAUUCCGGAGAGGGAGCCUGAGAAACGGCU